AGAUACAAUAAAAUGUCUGCGACAUCUAUCACCUCAUUGAUUGCCAGGGUUGGUUCAGCUGAUCUGGCUGACUAGCUGGGUGUCCCCUUCCUCCCUUAUCAAUCCAUGCUUGUCUCUCCUGAAGCUGCAUGCCGGGUGAAAGAGGACAGCCUUCCCUGACAGAGACAUACCAUUAAUGGGUCAAGGGUAUAUGGUAGCUACACUCCCCUGCUAGAACCUCCAAACACGCUCAAAAAUUAAGAGAACUGUAAGAUCACUUGCUGCAUAUUCAAGUACUU
RNAcentral lists this small nuclear RNA (278 nucleotides) under Charadrius vociferus (killdeer). RNAcentral describes it as "7SK RNA". It matches the Rfam family "7SK RNA". Rfam says of the family: 7SK was discovered as an abundant small nuclear RNA in the mid-70s but a possible function has only recently been suggested. Two independent studies have found that 7SK RNA binds the CDK9/cyclin T complex (known as elongation factor P-TEFb). Lineage: Eukaryota; Metazoa; Chordata; Aves; Charadriiformes; Charadriidae. The record is from Rfam by way of RNAcentral.